GGCCGGUUAGCUCAGUUGGUUAGAGCGUCGUGCUAAUAACGCGAAUGUCGCGGGUUCGUUCCCCGUACUGGCCA
Molecule: non-coding RNA, 74 nt
Organism: Ciona savignyi (Pacific transparent sea squirt)
Lineage: Eukaryota; Metazoa; Chordata; Ascidiacea; Phlebobranchia; Cionidae
Source: Rfam